CUUGCAACUAUGAGGUCACUUUCAAUCACUUUCUUCCACCUUCAUUAUCAAAAGUUGUCAUGUUCGUGAGAUAAUGAGUAUAACAGGUCACUUUCGAUCAUACUCCACCUUCGUACACUGAGUUGAGGGCUUUAUCUUUCAACUAUGAGGUCACUUUCAAUCAUAUUCUUCCACAUUCGCCAUCAAAGUUAUCAUGUUCGUGAGAUAAUAAGUAAAACAGGUCACUUUCAAUCACACUCCACCUUCGUACACUGAAUUCAAGGCUUUAUCCCAUCAUUUUCAAACAUAUUCAGAUCACUUCCACACAUGUUCUUCCACCACCAUCCACAUUUACCACAUUUCCGAGGGUAGUGGAACAGUACAUUUCUACGCCAAUUCAACCCCAGCAUCCGACACCUAUUAGCGACCUCACCUAUUAGCGACCUCACCUAUUAGCGACCUCAUCCUACCGUAGUCGAAUGUAAAUUGUGGGAGCUGCGGGGUCGUCGAAACUAUGUAUUUACGAGGAGUAUUAUUACGCCUAUUAGUAUUUUCGUCCCUGUCUUUCUCGGGUAUCAUAAUCUGCUUCUUAUCGUUACGUCAAACUUGUCUAUUAGUAUUUUCGUCCCUGUCUUUCUCGGGUAUCAUAAUCUGCUUCUUAUCGUUACGUCAAACUUGUCUAUUAGUAUUUUCGUCCCUGUCUUUCUCGGGUAUCAUAAUCUGCUUCUUAUCGUUACGUCAAACUUGUCUAUUAGUAUUUUCGUCCCUGUCUUUCUCGGGUAUCAUAAUCUGCUUCUUAUCGUUACGUCAAACUUGUCUCGUGCUUAUGUUCGACGAGUGUUAAUUCGUAACAUCGCAAUUUAUUCUUGUUAUUACGUGAAAAUGUCUUGUGAUUACGUCCAGCAAGUUGAUUUUAAGGGUCAGUUCACCGUUGUGUGUUUGGUUAUGUGAGGCGAAGUUAUGUGAGGGUAGAUUAGGCUAGGGUAGAUUAGGUUAGGCUAGGUUAGAUUAGGCUAGGUUAGGUUAGGUUAGGUUAGGUUAGGUUAGAUUAGGCUAGGUUAGAUUAGGUUAGGUUAGAUUAGGCUAGGUUAGAUUAGGCUAGGUUAGAUUAGGUUAGGUUAGAUUA
Molecule: long non-coding RNA, 1105 nt
Organism: Eriocheir sinensis (Chinese mitten crab)
Lineage: Eukaryota; Metazoa; Arthropoda; Malacostraca; Decapoda; Varunidae
Exons: 3
Source: RefSeq, a predicted model, not a curated record